CUCCACUGGAUCUCCGUGACUUCGCCGCUGGCGUGUCAUUGGUCGGCUGCUGACAUUUUGUUAGCCGUCGUUAAUGCCGGCGGCGCCAUAAAGCACCAGGGGCUGACACGGAGAGAGAGAGACUUAUAGUUCUUAUUUAAGGGAUGGCAGAGUCUCAGAGUCUCCGAGGCCUUCGACCUUCAGCGGCGCCUGGAGGUCGCGGCGGUCGUUGGACGAGGCGUUCGGGGCCACGCAGACGGAGAUGGACGGCAGAGCGCUGCACAAAUCCAUUCAGAGACAGAGUUAAUAAAAUCAAAGAGCCCGAUAUGAUCAAGCAUGAAGUACAUCACAAAGAUUGAACGGAGGAAAUCCUUCUGAUCGUUAUAAUCAAAAGAAGAAGAAGAAGAAAUGAAUAAAAGAUCAAAGUGAAGGAAGAUUAUCUUCAGCAGGCCCAAAAUAUUUAACACAAUUAAGGCAGAAACUAGGACAGGGCUGUUUGUGUUUGUGUGUCUGUGUGUGUGUGUGUCUGUG
Long non-coding RNA from Perca fluviatilis (European perch), 510 nucleotides. RefSeq lists it as uncharacterized. The record is from RefSeq and is a predicted model, not a curated record. The transcript has 5 exons. NCBI's taxonomy places the organism in Eukaryota, Metazoa, Chordata, Actinopteri, Perciformes, Percidae.